RNAcentral lists this long non-coding RNA (2712 nucleotides) under Homo sapiens (human). RNAcentral describes it as "long independently transcribed non-coding RNA 1128, transcript variant 9 (LINC01128)". Lineage: Eukaryota; Metazoa; Chordata; Mammalia; Primates; Hominidae. The record is from RNAcentral.
CCGGGCCGGGCCGGGGCGGGGUCUCGGGCAGGGGCGGGGAGCUUACCGACCUCCCGCCCCCGCUGCGCGCGUUUCUGGCCCUGCCAGUGUCUCCGCCGGUUGAAAGCGCGUGUCUGCGUCGGGUUCUGUUGGAGUGCGUUCGGUGCGCCGUGGGUCCGCGCUGCUUCCACCCAACUUCCUGUUAGUUUCUCUCCUGUCACAAUGGCAUGAUCUCGGCUCACUGCGACCUCUGCUUCCUGGGUUCAAGGAUUCUCCUGCCUCAGCCUCCCAAGUAGCUGGGAUUACAGGAAUCUCACCAGUGACACGCGUUUGUGAAAAGCUGUGAAUAUUCAGUGCCACAGGGUUAAACCUCGGUACAGAAGCGAGACCCUGCUGGGCAGAGAAAGGGUGACCUGGAAGGUGUGUGAGGGCCCCGCCCAUGGGCCCCUGUGAUGGUCAUGGCCUCAAGAAUCACAGUCCAGGUGAGGCCCUGAAUAUCCACAGCCAGGACCAGUUCCCUCUGCUCUUGGGUGCCAAGGCCACCGUCAGCCAGGAGAGGCCUGCAGAAUCAGCCUGUGCACCUCUCUGACGAUAAGCAGAGAUGCUGGUUUAGAGACUUGCUACUCACGGGGAAGUCCUUGGGCCUCCUGUACUCACAUUACCUGGAACUUCUUGGAAAUUCAGAAUCUCAGGCCCCAACCCAGACGGACUGAAUCAAAAUCUUCAUUGUGGUAAGACCCUCGGUGACACACAGGCCUGGGAAGCACAGGUUAGCGUGUCACCUUGGGCAAAGCUCUCAGCAUUGUGAGCCUCUGUUUUCUACUCUGUAAAGGAGGCAUGAAUAUCUACAACAUCAGUUUGCCAUGAGUAUUGAAAAAUAAUGUCUUAGAAGCACAGGGCAGAGCCUGGCAUGUAGUUUGUGCUCAGUGCACAGCAGACAAGAAACCACAUGCACCAGACCUGGGCGGCCGUCGGCAGCCCACCCUGAGCAACCAUGGGUGGCCCUCUUGUCUCUCGGGACAAGAAAUGCUUCUUUAGAAAUGCUUCUUUCCUUUCUAAAAUGAAAGUUUUGGACAGUAUUUCCUUUCAUUUAAAAAUUUCAUCUGUGUAUUUGAUGGCCUCUGUUGUUUCUUUCCUGAAACUCCUGCUAACAUACUGGGAGCUGAAGAAGGGCUCCGUGAAGGCGAGUAGGGGUGCCUGUCCCUCCCAGGGAGGAGCUUCCCUCCUCUCACCUGCUGCACGAGCCCUAGUGCUUCACCAACUCCAGCCUCAGUGCCCUGACACUGGGGGAGGGAAAGGAAGCGCACGCACCAGCCGUUCCACCCACCGAAGUUGUUUGGUCCCAAUCUGCAAAAUCAGUUAAACGUCUUCCUGCCUGGCAGCAGAUCAAAGGGUGAGGGGUCUGGGACAGACAGAGACGGCUAGAGAAUGGAUGGUGAAGUGCUCAGAGGCCCUGUGGGCUAUCCCACACUCGGCGGAAGACAGCAACACCAUCAAAUCUCCACCCUUUGUUAUCCAUGACUUAAAGAAAAGUGAACAGGGAGGUGGACAACUGUGCAAAGACUGGCUGGAGUCAAAUCCUGGGCAUAGGUGAAGCAUCGAGAAUGCUUGUCACACGUUUGAAUGUGCAGGGGGACUCUGACUGGAAGCUCCUAGCAGAGGCUGAAGACACUGGUUAGGUCCUGGUGCGUGCCUUGGGAUGCAUCCCAGGCAACGGGCCCAGGAGCUUGAGGUCAUGUCCACCUGGCUCACCAGGGAGUCCUGCACCAUUCUUCAAACCUAACUGGAAGAGACACUGAUCCUUCCUCCCACCUAAGGGCUCCCAGAGCCACAGGUCUCCGACUCUCCUGCAACACCUCCUGCUGCCUGUUCCCACCGCCCAUGAUUCACUCAGUCACCAUCCUCAGCAGCACCCGACAGCCUCUGUGUGUCUGUGUCACUCACCAUUACCAGCCCCCUGGGUGCCCAAUGCAUGUAUGUUAGACAGAACAAAUGCACGGCGGCCUUCAGCAGCACCGACCGCGUCAACCCCUCUGUGCUCACACCAGGAGUGAUCAGCGCACACGCCCUCCCACAGGAUGGGAGAAGGUGAUAACAGCUGAGCUGGGUGUCCAGAAGCCAGCCCCACCCCACAGCCACUACUGAGAGGUUAUGAGAUCAUGGCCUUAUCCCGAGUAAUGCUGCUGCAGUGAACUGGGACUUUUUUCCUCUGAAUUCAAAGGUGGGGCAGUCUAGGCACCUGGAUGCACCAUCUGCUCUGUCCCGGCCUGGUGGCUGCUCACUGUGGGAUGCUGUGCAAUUAGACAGUUACUAUCUUUCCCUGGUUGACGGAUUAGAGUUUCCCUUUUCUGAGCAUCUUGUUUUGAAGUGAUCCGAAGUGUUUAGGGUUAAAGAGCGUGAUUUUCCCAAACUGUCCAAAGAAAUAGAAGCAGGUCUGCAAGAGGGGGGUGCCCAGAGCCUUGAGAUGGAAGCGAGAUGGGGUGAGACCUGGGGAGCUCUCCAGGCCGCCGGGAAGCUGCACGUCAUCCUCUGGACCUCUUUGCUGACUGUGUGCUGUCACCACAGCAGCCGCCUUCUCUCAUCUGUAAACAGGAUUUUACGUAAAUUUCCAUACACUUGGUUGUUGACAAUUAAGUAGAUUGUUUUUAAAGAUACUUGAAAUGAUAUCAGAAUUUCCUAAAUAUAUCAUUAAAACAGGAAACUUAGUUACCUAAAAAAAAAAAAAAAAAAAAA